GGUGAGGAGCGGCGGACGGGUUAGUAACGCGUGGGAACAUACCCUUCUCUACGGAAUAGCCACUGGAAACGGUGAGUAAUACCGUAUACGCCCUUCGGGGGAAAGAUUUAUCGGAGAUGGAUUGGCCCGCGUUAGAUUAGAUAGUUGGUGGGGUAAUGGCCUACCAAGUCUACGAUCUAUAGCUGGUUUGAGAGGAUGAUCAGCAACACUGGGACUGAGACACGGCCCAGACUCCUACGGGAGGCAGCAGUGGGGAAUCUUAGACAAUGGGCGCAAGCCUGAUCUAGCGAUGCCGCGUGAGUGAUGAAGGCCUUAGGGUCGUAAAGCUCUUUCGCCAGGGAUGAUAAUGACAGUACCUGGUAAAGAAACCCCGGCUAACUCCGUGCCAGCAGCCGCGGUAAUACGGAGGGGGUUAGCGUUGUUCGGAAUUACUGGGCGUAAAGCGUACGUAGGCGGAUCAGAAAGUUAGGGGUGAAAUCCCAGGGCUCAACCCUGGAACUGCCUCUAAAACUCCUGGUCUUGAGUUCGAGAGAGGUGAGUGGAAUUCCAAGUGUAGAGGUGAAAUUCGUAGAUAUUUGGAGGAACACCAGUGGCGAAGGCGGCUCACUGGCUCGAUACUGACGCUGAGGUACGAAAGUGUGGGGAGCAAACAGGAUUAGAUACCCUGGUAGUCCACACCGUAAACGAUGAAUGCCAGACG
RNAcentral lists this ribosomal RNA (700 nucleotides) under uncultured bacterium. RNAcentral describes it as "bacterial SSU rRNA". It matches the Rfam family "Bacterial small subunit ribosomal RNA", at positions 87 to 822 of the family's 1533-position model. The record is from RNAcentral.